UACGAAGGGAACUAGCGUUGUUCGGAAUCACUGGGCGUAAAGCGCGCGCAGGCGGAUAUUCAAGUCAGGGGUGAAAUCCUGAGGCUUAACCUCAGAAUUGCCUUUGAGACUGUCUAUCUGGAGUGUGUGAGGGGGUAGCGGAAUUCCGAAUGUAGAGGUGAAAUUCGUAGAUAUUCGGAGGAACACCGGUGGCGAAGGCGGCUACCUGGCACACAACUGACGCUGAGACGCGAAAGCGUGGGGAGCAAACAGG
This 253-nucleotide ribosomal RNA is filed under the name uncultured bacterium. RNAcentral's name for it is "partial 16S ribosomal RNA". It matches the Rfam family "Bacterial small subunit ribosomal RNA", at positions 524 to 776 of the family's 1533-position model. The record is from RNAcentral.